RNAcentral lists this long non-coding RNA (673 nucleotides) under Homo sapiens (human). RNAcentral describes it as "HSALNT0350021". The stretch from base 260 to 396 matches the Rfam family "Pvt1 oncogene conserved region 7". The record is from RNAcentral. Lineage: Eukaryota; Metazoa; Chordata; Mammalia; Primates; Hominidae.
CUCAUUGAAAAAAAAUGUUUAAGGGGACAUUUCUCUCUCCUAAACUUUUUAUGUUCCAUUGAAGACCUGGAAAACAUGUUAAAUAAAAAUGCUUUGCCACAGCUGACCUAUGUCUUCUGGCUUGUACCCCACAACAUCUUAUCUAAUGGAGCCAGUCUUGGUGCUCUGUGUUCACCUGGUUCAUCUGAGGAGCUGCAUCUACCCUGCCCAUGCCAUAGAUCCUGCCCUGUUUGCUUCUCCUGUUGCUGCUAGUGGACAUGAGGACAGAAUAACGGGCUCCCAGAUUCACAAGCCCCACCAAGAGGAUCACCCCAGGAACGCUUGGAGGCUGAGGAGUUCACUGAGGCUACUGCAUCUUGAGACUCAGGAUGAAGACCCAGCUUGGGGCUGUCAAAGGUUUUUUGCAUGUCUGACACCCAUGACUCCACCUGGACCUUAUGGCUCCACCCAGAAGCAAUUCAGCCCAACAGGAGGACAGCUUCAACCCAUUACGAUUUCAUCUCUGCCCCAACCACUCAGCAGCAAGCACCUGUUACCUGUCCACCCCCACCCCUUCCCCCAAACUGCCUUUGAAAAAUCCCUAACCUAUGAGCUUUGAAUAAGAUGAGUACGAACUUCAUCGCCCACGUGGCGUGGCCGGCCUCGUGUCUAUUAAAUUCUUUUUCUACUACAA